This is a long non-coding RNA of Melospiza melodia melodia, 295 nucleotides long. RefSeq lists it as uncharacterized. Lineage: Eukaryota; Metazoa; Chordata; Aves; Passeriformes; Passerellidae. The transcript is spliced from 2 exons. The record is from RefSeq and is a predicted model, not a curated record.
GGGACACUUCUGCGUCUGAGCCGCGACUUGAGAUCCUCGGGGGAACGUAAACGCACUGCCUUUUUUGCCUACCUGAAGCCCUCCUCCAUCUCCUCCCCAUCCCUGGAUCUGGCAGUGUCAGUUUUGUACUCGGUGGUGCCUCCAGCGCUGAAUCCCCUCAUCUACAGCCUGAGGAACCAGGAGCUCAAGGCUGCAGUGUGGAGACUGAUGACUGGAUGGUUUCAGAAGCAUUAAACUGCUGGCCGUUUUCUGCAAGUCAUUGCAAUAAAAGUGAACUUUGAUAGUUCUUGUUGAA